RNAcentral lists this long non-coding RNA (1311 nucleotides) under Apteryx rowi (Okarito brown kiwi). RNAcentral's name for it is "lncRNA (ENSARWG00000010647.1)". The record is from RNAcentral. Lineage: Eukaryota; Metazoa; Chordata; Aves; Apterygiformes; Apterygidae.
CUUCUCYRCACCAGGCUGAGGGGCUMAUGUUCUCRGUAGAGAGCUUAGAGGAGGGCUUUGGAGAGGCAGCCUCCUCUUGUAGCAGGAGAAUGCUCUGCUGCCUUCAGCAGCAAGGAGAGAACUGCCUUGGAAGCCUCCCAGUGCGUCUGUGUUACGUUGCAGAGACUGCGUACGCCAGAGCUGUCCAUCUCCGGCAGACCUGCUGCUCUGGGGACCCAGCCUAGCUCUGUGCAUGUGUUCCCGAGGUGAACGCGUUUCCUUUGCAGCCCUUGGCCAACCGAGCAGGAAGCCUCCUGGCUGCUCCUUGCGACUGUGCACCACCAGGGCUUGACACUCAGCAUCGAGUUGGGAAUAACUUGCACAGUGACUGGUUCCCGCUUAACCAGUGCUCACUUUGGGCUACGCUUGUCUGUGCCUGGAGUGACCAGGAAUCGUGACUGUGCUUCUCAUGCCCAACCUGCCCUGCUUCCCAUCGGAGAGAAGGAACUGCACACAGAGAGGAACUUAGGCUACGCCUUCUGUCUUUUGGGGGAGAGUGCCAAAAAAAAAGCCCCUAAAGAGCUGUGCAUGGACACAAAGGAGGUGGCAUGUGAGAAGGUCUCAAACAGCAGUGAGGAGGCUCAGUGUUCACAAGCUGCAAAGGGGAGACGAUGCCCUUCCUUCAAAGCUGGGUUGUCUUUUGGCUUGCAGGUUUCAGCUGACCGUGCAAGGCAGCCCAGAGGCCCAGGCUGCCCCCGCCGGCUGCCCACAGGAGAAGGAGCUGGAAGAAGAGCGCGGGGGCAUCAGGAGCAGCAAAGGUCAGGGAAAAGCUGCCUCCUGACCCGGUUGGCUCCCUGUCCCACGCUGGGUGACAGCAGCCYGGUGAAAAUGCACUCCCCAGGAGGCUGCUCUGAAGAGCUUCCUUGUGUCCUCCUUACAGAGCAGCGUCCUGACAAGCUCCUGCAGCAGCACGAAGAGCUUUCUCUCCCCAUGCUGCCAAACUGGGGGAAGGCGCGAGGUGGCAAGGCAUGGAGAGCAAGCCUCCUGCCAGGAUCCUUAGGAAGCAGGCAGCCCCCAUCCUGGGCACCUCCCUGGGGAACGAGGUUGACAUUCAAUACCUCGAGGCUGCAUCCUCCCACUGGACCUCAGAGCAGCCGUGCUGCCACCACUCUCAGGGGUGCAGCACAGGUGUGUGAGCGGGCUCUGGGUGAUCCUUGCAUCUCACCAACUCCUAGGAAAGCUCAGGCCUAUGCGACUCCCUCCAGAAAGGGCCCUCAGUGCGUGGCCACGGCAGCCGUCGGUGGCCUCUUUGGCUGCUACUUUGGGGUGUAG